UCAGACGAUGCGUCAUGCAUAUCAAUAAGCGGAGGAAAAGAAACUAACAAGGAUUCCCUUAGUAACGGCGAGUGAAGCGGGAAGAGCUCAAAUUUGAAAUCUUCAAGGUUCUACCUUGACGAAUUGUAGUUUAAAGAAGUGUUUUCGGUUAGAGGAGUGGUAAAAGUUCUUUGGAAUAGGACAUCAUAGAGGGUGAGAAUCCCGUAUUUGACCAUUCUUUCUAGCUUUGUGAUACACUUUCAAAGAGUCGGAUUGUUUGGGAAUGCAGUCCAAAAUGGGUGGUAAAUUUCAUCUAAAGCUAAAUAUUGGCGAGAGACCGAUAGCGAACAAGUACCGUGAGGGAAAGAUGAAAAGAACUUUGAAAAGAGAGUUAAACAGUACGUGAAAUUGUCAAAAGGGAAGCGUUUGACACCAGUGUUGUUUUCUCGAAAAUCAAUUAAAAAGAGUUGGAUUUUGUGUUGUAUUGACCUUAACAGCUUGCUUCACUCUUUUCCUGCUUUUUUUAAUGCACUUUUCGUUUAACAAGUCAACAUCAGUUUCUUUUGUUGUAAAAGGGUCAUUGGAAGGUGGCUUUCUCUUCGGAGAAAGUGUUUAUAGCCUUUGAUCUCUGCAAUCGGAGAGACUGAGGUCUGCAGCGUAGAUCCUUCGGGGUUAGAUACAUUUGUGCUAAGCUACAGCUUUUCAUAGACAACUUGUUGACUAUGUUUAGUCUUGUAACUUACCCGCUUAUGCUAUUUUACCUACGCUUAGGAUGUUGAUAUGCAUGACUGAUAU
Molecule: ribosomal RNA, 774 nt
Filed under: uncultured Neocallimastigales
Lineage: Eukaryota; Fungi; Neocallimastigomycota; Neocallimastigomycetes; Neocallimastigales
Description: partial large subunit ribosomal RNA
Rfam family: Eukaryotic large subunit ribosomal RNA
Source: RNAcentral